Molecule: long non-coding RNA, 401 nt
Filed under: Brassica napus (rape)
Lineage: Eukaryota; Viridiplantae; Streptophyta; Magnoliopsida; Brassicales; Brassicaceae
Description: long non-coding RNA (BNAP_LNC018708)
Source: RNAcentral
AAGUUAAAGAAUUGUGGUUUUAGAAUUUGGGGUUUGGAAUGGAAAGAAUAGAUUGAGGUUAAAGGGAAGAUGAGUUUGGGGUUUGGAAUAUAUGAAGUAGAAGAUAAGGAAGAUGGGGUUUGGGGUUUCGGAUUUUAGGGAUUUAAACAUAAUCCUCGUAAAAUAACGAGGAAGUAACGACGAAAUUAAAAACUAAAGAACGCGGGACUCGUUAAUUCCACGUAACCAGAAAUCGUCGUAAAGACCUUGUAACCGGAAAAAGUGGGCCUUGCUAUUUCCUCGUAAAUGAAAAAGCGGGCAUCGCUAAUUCCUCGUAAAUGAAUGACCAAUUAGGGACUACCAUUGUAAUAUUUGAAAAAAGAAGAGAAGAAAGAUACUGGAAUCACAGGUGGGAAGAAACA